RNAcentral lists this transfer RNA (65 nucleotides) under Dipodomys ordii (Ord's kangaroo rat). It matches the Rfam family "tRNA". From Rfam's summary of the family: Transfer RNA (tRNA) molecules are approximately 80 nucleotides in length. The record is from Rfam by way of RNAcentral. Lineage: Eukaryota; Metazoa; Chordata; Mammalia; Rodentia; Heteromyidae.
GGUGGCUCAGAGGUAGAGCACUUGCCUUGCAUGCAUGAGGCACUGGGUUUGAUUCCUCAGCACCA